This is a long non-coding RNA of Leopardus geoffroyi (Geoffroy's cat), 191 nucleotides long. RefSeq lists it as uncharacterized. The transcript has 2 exons. The record is from RefSeq and is a predicted model, not a curated record. NCBI's taxonomy places the organism in Eukaryota, Metazoa, Chordata, Mammalia, Carnivora, Felidae.
UCUUCAAGACCCUUUGGUGGCCUCAGAAGUUCAUUCGGCCUACUGGGCAAGGCGACAUUUCCAGCUUCUUGUUAGGUGCCUGGAAGCAGUGGAAGCUGGGAUAGGGUGAUGGGGACAACUAUUUAACCUCCGAGUGGCAAAUGCAGAAAGACCACACAACCAAAGCAGAGGCAAAAGCCGAUGACAGAAAA